UAUACGGCGAGUGAAGAGGGAAGAGCCCAAGAUUGAAAGCUGGCGUCUUCGGCGUCCGCAUUGUAAUCUCAAGAAGUGUUUUCCGCUUCGGACCAAGCCUAAGUCCCCUGGAAAGGGGCAUCAUAGAGGGUGAUAAUCCCGUACAUGGCUUGGAGCGCCCGAGGCUUUGUGAUACGCUUUCUAAGAGUCGAGUUGUUUGGGAAUGCAGCUCAAAAUGGGUGGUAAAUGCCAUCUAAGGCUAAAUAUUGGGGAGAGACCGAUAGCGAACAAGUACAGUGAUGGAAAGAUGAAAAGAACUUUGAAAAGAGAGUUAAACAGUACGUGAAGUUGCCAAAAGGGAAGGGUAGGAGGUCAGAGAUGCGGCCUGGGAUUCAGCCUUGCUUUUGCUUGGUGUUUUUCCCAGAUUGCAGGCCAACGUCGGUUUUGGGCACUGGAGAAGGGUAGGAGGAACGUGGCACCCCUCGGGGUGUGUUAUAGCCUCCUACUGGAUACAGCGACCGAGACCGAGGACAGCAGCGUACUCGCAAGAGCGGGCCUUCGGGCACCUUUACGCUUAGGGCGUUGGCAUAAUGGCCCUCUACCACCCGUCUUGA
RNAcentral lists this ribosomal RNA (593 nucleotides) under uncultured Pseudozyma. RNAcentral's name for it is "LSU rRNA". It matches the Rfam family "Eukaryotic large subunit ribosomal RNA", at positions 84 to 657 of the family's 3401-position model. The record is from RNAcentral. Lineage: Eukaryota; Fungi; Basidiomycota; Ustilaginomycetes; Ustilaginales; Ustilaginaceae.